This 127-nucleotide small RNA is filed under the name Marmota monax (woodchuck). The record is from RNAcentral. Lineage: Eukaryota; Metazoa; Chordata; Mammalia; Rodentia; Sciuridae.
GCCAGGCACAGUGGUGUGCACUUGUAAUCCCAGCAACUUGGGAGGCUAAGGCAGGAGGAUCACAAGUUUGAGGUCAGCCCCAGCAACUUAGUGAGGCCCUAAGCAACUUAGUGAGAACUUGUCUUAA